GGACAAUUAGCUCAGUUGGUAGAGCAUUCCGUUCACAUCGGAAAGGUCGCAGGUUCAAGUCCUGCAUUGUCCA
Molecule: transfer RNA, 73 nt
Filed under: Patescibacteria group bacterium
Lineage: Bacteria
Also listed under: 1 other name
Description: tRNA-Val
Rfam family: tRNA
About the family: Transfer RNA (tRNA) molecules are approximately 80 nucleotides in length. Their secondary structure includes four short double-helical elements and three loops (D, anti-codon, and T loops).
Source: RNAcentral